RNAcentral lists this long non-coding RNA (485 nucleotides) under Felis catus (domestic cat). RNAcentral describes it as "lncRNA (ENSFCAG00000049607.1)". The record is from RNAcentral. Lineage: Eukaryota; Metazoa; Chordata; Mammalia; Carnivora; Felidae.
GGAAUGUAUUUGUCUCUCCCUUGGAUCUGGGCUUGGCCAAGUGAUUUCACAAAUGUCACCGAAGCAGAUGCUUGAAAAGAGCCAGGUGCAUUGCAACCUGGUCCCCUCUUGGUUCUCUCAUAACCUGAGCAACCACGUGAAAGAGGCUGAGCUUAUCUGCCAAGAGGAGGAGAGACUCCAGGCAAUAGCCUGCCAACCUCCGGACUCAUGGGUGAGCCCAUCCCGGACCAGGCAGGGCCCGCUGACUCUCCAGGUGUUAAAGAGACAGGAGAAGGCAGGACCGGGUUCAGCCACCUGCAGCCCUGGCUACAAGAACCUCCAGCCCGUGGAGGUUAAGUGUAUUGUACAAAAGCGCAGCGUGAGUCUGGUUUGUGCAGUGCAAACAAGGAAGAGGGUUCUCACCUGGAACCCAAUCAGCCCAGCUUCUUGAUCUUGGAUUUCUCAGCCUCCAGAAGUGUGAAAAAUAAAUUUUUCCGUUUAAGUCA